AACGAGGCCGACCUGCGGCUGAGUUACCUGCGGAGGGAUCAUUACAGAGUUGCAAAACUCCCUAAACCAUUGUGAACGUUACCUAAACCGUUGCUUCGGCGGGCGGCCCGGGUCCUUCCCGGCGCCCCUCGGCCCUCGCGGGCGCCCGCCGGAGGUAAACCAAACUAUUGCAUUGUAUGGCCUCUCUGAGUCUUCUGUACUGAAUAAGUCAAAACUUUCAGCAACGGAUCUCAGAUCGGA
Molecule: unclassified non-coding RNA, 240 nt
Filed under: soil metagenome
Description: partial contains 5.8S ribosomal RNA, internal transcribed spacer 2, and large subunit ribosomal RNA
Source: RNAcentral